UUUAAGUAAACUAUACUACUACAAAAAUCCAUCAAUUACAAAUGCCAGUACUUUUCUGCAUCUAUGUCUCCACACCAGCCCAGCCGCACCAUCUUCUACUAUAGUCCACCUGCGCGUUGAGCAUCUCUGGCCAGCUCCCAGCGCCCCGCCGCCUGUGCCCCUGCCUCUGCUCAGCGCGAAGCCGCCCCUGCCCCGCGCCCUGCUGCCCCAGACCAGCGCCUCUGUCCAGCGCCCCGUCGCGGCGCCGCCCCAUCCCCAGCGCCUGCCCCUGCCCUUGCCCAGGCAACCGCCCGCUACCGCUAUCCCCGGUGUCGCCGCCCACUACCCCAUCCCCAGCCCCUCCUCUCGUCCAAGGUCUCGCGGAAAACUCCUUCAACUGCGGUCCGUCCAAGGUCCGCCGGCGGGCGGCUACUCAAGCAGAGCGCGGCGUGGCAGUUGCCGGAUGGGGAAGGAGAUGACGGGAGGGAGGCUCCGGGCGUGGCAGUUUGACGGAUGGGGGAUCCCGACCUCCAUGCUCUAUAUGAGGGAUCCCGACCUGAAUAUGGGGCAUGGUUGGAUAUGAGAAUGGGAUGGGGUACUGCUGGAGGGCGUUUUUGGCCCAAAUUUCCUAAAUUAAGGUAUUGAGCGCUUUAUAGGAGAUCUCUUGGAGUUGCUCUUAGGGAGCUACGUGGAAUUAAUCAAAUGGUACCAUGAUGACCUUGAGCUCCUUCGUCAGGUCGCCGCCGUCGUCGGCCGCUCCGUCAACCUAUCUGCGUCAGCGCGCCCUCGUCGUCUGGAUCGAGCGUACCAAAAGGAGACGACGAGUGCACUGACCUCCUCCUACCAAAUUAGGACCAGAACCCAUCAACCCUGAGCCUGAAGCUACUGGUGAUCUGGUGCUGUCCGUCACAGUGAGCCCCACAUGAGCACGAGCUGGCCGGGAAUCGUGGAGAGGCACCGGACGAAGCCGGACGCCAAAGACGGGGCAGCCACGUACAGGAGGAAGAUGCACACACUGGAGGUGAAAGACGACCUUGACAGCAAGCACUACCUGUCUGAGAGAGAAGAGACGAGAGAGGUCACUAGCGGAUCACAACCUUUGAAUUUAAUCGACGGUCCAAAUUAUAAGAUGUAUAUGACCGUAUUUUAUACUCCCUCAGUUCCAAGAAACAGUGGAAGAACAUUGACCAUAGAAAUUGUGAUCUUUGCCCA
Long non-coding RNA from Brachypodium distachyon (stiff brome), 1191 nucleotides. RefSeq lists it as uncharacterized. The record is from RefSeq and is a predicted model, not a curated record. NCBI's taxonomy places the organism in Eukaryota, Viridiplantae, Streptophyta, Magnoliopsida, Poales, Poaceae. The transcript is spliced from 2 exons.